AGUGAGCGCUGGCGGUAGGCCUAACACAUGCAAGUCGAACGGCAGCACAGUAAGAGCUUGCUCUUACGGGUGGCGAGUGGCGGACGGGUGAGGAAUACAUCGGAAUCUACUUUUUCGUGGGGGAUAACGUAGGGAAACUUACGCUAAUACCGCAUGCGACCUACGGGUGAAAGCAGGGGAUCUUCGGACCUUGCGCGAUUGAAUGAGCCGAUGUCGGAUUAGCUAGUUGGCGGGGUAAAGGCCCACCAAGGCGACGAUCCGUAGCUGGUCUGAGAGGAUGAUCAGCCACACUGGAACUGAGACACGGUCCAGACUCCUACGGGAGGCAGCAGUGGGGAAUAUUGGACAAUGGGCGCAAGCCUGAUCCAGCCAUACCGCGUGGGUGAAGAAGGCCUUCGGGUUGUAAAGCCCUUUUGUUGGGAAAGAAAAGCAGCAGGUUAAUACCCCGCUGUUCUGACGGUACCCAAAGAAUAAGCACCGGCUAACUUCGUG
Molecule: ribosomal RNA, 492 nt
Filed under: uncultured bacterium
Lineage: Bacteria
Description: partial 16S ribosomal RNA
Rfam family: Bacterial small subunit ribosomal RNA
Source: RNAcentral